Molecule: non-coding RNA, 564 nt
Organism: Amborella trichopoda
Lineage: Eukaryota; Viridiplantae; Streptophyta; Magnoliopsida; Amborellales; Amborellaceae
Source: RefSeq, a predicted model, not a curated record
UUGAAGUCACGCUCUUUUUCUUUGGAUUUCAUUUUCACUCAAAUUUUCAUAGGCCUCCAAAAGGCUAUAAAUAGCCCUACCAUGAAAUUUCAAGUUACUUUUUGGCGGCUAUGUUAUUAUUAUGUUAAUUCUUGUGAGAAAAGAAGAAAUCUACAAAGCUUGCUUGAUUCAUGAUCAAUUUAUGCAUCUUCAAAAGCUUCAAAGAGUUGAUGAUUUAGGGCUUGUAGAAGUCAUGGCCAGUUUCGACAUGGCCGGGCUGGUUUUUCAGAUGCCGAGUUCCAGUGAAACCGAGGACUCAGGCAGCCAGAUCCCCGCGGCAACCGAGCCGAGCUGCUCCUCCUCAAUUGAAGAUGCAGAAGAUUCAUCGUGGUGGUUGGGGAUGAAGAGCUUAAGGAAUUUCUCUUUGAUGACUUAUUUGCCUCAAAAGAUAAAUCAGGAACUUCCUUUCUGCGCCUCUUCCUUUUUCUUGUAAGCCCAUUGUCCUUUCAUUACCUGUACCUGUUUUUCACACUAUCUGUAGGAGAUGGCUUUGUCCAGUUCCACUCUAUAUAUCUUUUGCCAAUG